Molecule: ribosomal RNA, 502 nt
Filed under: uncultured bacterium
Lineage: Bacteria
Description: bacterial SSU rRNA
Rfam family: Bacterial small subunit ribosomal RNA
Source: RNAcentral
CAGGAUGAACGCUAGCUACAGGCUAACACAUGCAAGUCGAGGGCAGCAUGGGAGUUGCUUGCAACUUCUGAUGGCGACCGGCGCACGGGUGAGUAACGCGUAUCCAACCUUCCCCUUAGUAGGGCAUAGCCCGUAGAAAUGCGGAUUAAUACCCUAUGUUCUUCGAAGCGGUCAUCCAAUUUGAAGCAAAGAUUCAUCGCUAAGGGAUGGGGAUGCGUCCGAUUAGGUGUUGGCGGGUAACGGCCCACCAAGCCAUCGAUCGGUAGGGGUUCUGAGAGGAAGGUCCCCCACAUUGGAACUGAGACACGGUCCAAACUCCUACGGGAGGCAGCAGUGAGGAAUAUUGGUCAAUGGGCGAGAGCCUGAACCAGCCAUGUCGCGUGGAAAGGAUGAAGGUCCUAUGGAUUGUAAACUUCUUUUGCAGGAGGGUAAAGUGAGCUACGUGUAGUUCAUUGCAAGUACCCUGCGAAUAAGCAUCGGCUAACUCCGUGCCAGCCGCCGC